GAGUGAACGCUGGCGGUAGACCUAACACAUGCAAGUCGAACGGCAGCACAGUAAGAGCUUGCUCUUACGGGUGGCGAGUGGCGGACGGGUGAGGAAUACAUCGGAAUCUACUUUUUCGUGGGGGAUAACGUAGGGAAACUUACGCUAAUACCGCAUACGACCUACGGGUGAAAGCAGGGGAUCUUCGGACCUUGCGCGAUUGAAUGAGCCGAUGUCGGAUUAGCUAGUUGGCGGGGUAAAGGCCCACCAAGGCGACGAUCCGUAGCUGGUCUGAGAGGAUGAUCAGCCACACUGGAACUGAGACACGGUCCAGACUCCUACGGGAGGCAGCAGUGGGGAAUAUUGGACAAUGGGCGCAAGCCUGAUCCAGCCAUACCGCGUGGGUGAAGAAGGCCUUCGGGUUGUAAAGCCCUUUUGUUGGGAAAGAAAAGCAGCAGGUUAAUACCCCGCUGUUCUGACGGUACCCAAAGAAUAAGCACCGGCUAACCUCGUG
Molecule: ribosomal RNA, 493 nt
Filed under: uncultured bacterium
Lineage: Bacteria
Description: partial 16S ribosomal RNA
Rfam family: Bacterial small subunit ribosomal RNA
Source: RNAcentral